UACGGGGGGAGCAAGCGUUGUUCGGAUUUACUGGGCGUAAAGGGCGCGUAGGCGGCCAGCACAAGUCAGUUGUGAAAUCUCCGAGCUUAACUCGGAAAGGUCAACUGAUACUGUGCGGCUAGAGUGCAGAAGGGGCAACUGGAAUUCUCGGUGUAGCGGUGAAAUGCGUAGAUAUUCGGAAGAACACCAGUGGCGAAGGCGGCUCACUGGUCCGGUACUGACGCUGAGGUGCGAAAGCGUGGGGAGCAAACAGG
Molecule: ribosomal RNA, 254 nt
Filed under: uncultured bacterium
Lineage: Bacteria
Description: partial 16S ribosomal RNA
Rfam family: Bacterial small subunit ribosomal RNA
Source: RNAcentral